AUUCAUAUACAAUGAUGUAUGCCCCUCUUGAUCAAUUAAUUACACACGAGAUACAAUGUUGACAAGCCAUGGCUCGAGAUUGGAUCUCCUACUGUUGAAAAAACGAUUGAGUGUGAAAUUUCUGCUACCUGACGAUGUUAUAGAGCUAAUACUAGAGAGACUUCCGGUGAUGUCUUUGCUGAGAUUCAAGUCCGUAUCCAAGAAGUGGAAAUCCACAGUAGAGGACCGUCGUUUUCAGGAAAGGCAGUUGCUCUGUCGUAAGCAAUCACGAGGUCCAGAUUUCCUUUUCAUGUCCCUUCGUGAUGAUGAUCAGAUCAUAAAGCAUGCUCCAAUAAUUUUUUAUAGGUCAGAAAUAGUUUAUAAUAUGUGGUUCCGUUCUUUGUGCUGGUCGAUAUGCCACGGUAGUUGUGACAGUCUAGUAUGCCUCUAUGACAUGCGUGUCGGUGUAGUAGUGGCCAAUCCCGCCACUAGAUGGUAUCAAACUUUUCCUCUUGCAAGAAUACAACACUAUAUGUCUAGACACGGAGUGUCUGUCUCCCCAAGUCCUAAGCUUGGAUUCGGUAAAGUCAAACUUAACGGCACGUACAAGCCGGUUUUCUUAUAUAAUUCGUUUGGGUUUGGCCUAGACAAUGUUACCACUUGUGAGGUUUUCGAUGUUAGCACUAAUGCUUGGAGGUACGUUCACCCUGCUUCUCUUUAUCGGAUCAACGCUUACAAUAAUCCAGUACUGUUCUUUGAUGGAUCGCUUUAUUGGUUAACGGAGCUUGAAGAAAAUGUAUUAUCAUUCGAUCUUCACAAUCAAACUUUUCAAGUAAUCUGCAAAGCUCCCAUUGCCCAUGUGUGUGAUCCUUCUAGCGUCUCCAUGUGCAUCCUUGAUAAUAGCUUGUUUGUAUCUGAGAAUAACUGGUCCACCUUAGAGAUAUGGUCGUUGGAUUGUUCAGGCGGCAACACCAAGACAUGGAAGAAAAUGUGUUCGGUGGAUCUAAUCAAAAGAGGCUCUUUCUUCAGGGAAUGCGCACUCUUACCAAUAGCAAUCUUGGACAAGACUAAGUUAUUACUUGGUGGUCAUGAAUGCACACAUCAACUGGUGAUGCAUGUUCUUCAUACCAUAAAUGAUGAAAUACUCUACAGAUCUAAGAAACCCAUAGAUUCUUUUUGUUAUAUCCAAAGUUUGUUUUCAGCUUUAUCAAACUAAUUUUCUCUUUCUAAUCUAACGCUUUAAUGUGACCCUGAUCUUCUCCCCUUUGGCUUAUUAUAUGUUUAUUACACAUUCCUAGUAGUAAUGUUUAAAAGUAUGUUUAUAUCACUGUAUCAUACAUGCAUUUUAACAUCCAUUGAUAAUUUAAAAGACAUGUUCACAUUUGCUUAUGUAACUAUGACUUUUUACGUUGUAACUUAUAGCAUGAACAAGUUUAGUGCAUGCUUGUGCAACUAGCUAAGUACCAAUUUGAUGGAUAGUAGUCAUGAUCAUGUGAACGUUGAAUCAUUCACCAAUGCAAGUAAUAUUACUUUGUUUUUGUUUAUUUUAAGCUAAUUAAUUUCCAAAUUGAAUAUAUAUAAUUGUAAUUGUAAUUUUGUAACUUUGAGUCUCUUAAUUGUAAUUUCAUAGCAACUGAAAGUAUUGAAAAUCGUCGUAUCAUAAAUCAAUUCAACUCCGGUUUUCUUGCUCAAUUCUGCUUUUAAUUCAGGUUCGGUCCGGUUAUAAAUCGAACCGAAAACCAAAGAGGAAUAGAUCUGGUGUCCGGUUUUAGUGUACCGGAACCAAUGUCACAUUCCGGUUUGUUUAGUCUUCAUCAUCAGUGGUGAGUUCUCUCAUCUUUGCAAGAGAGUGAUGAUCGCCGAAGCCGAGACCAAAGACACGAUGGAAGAGAUACAAACGCAGAAGAAAGAAGAGGAAGAGGAUGAGGAAGAAGGUCCUCCUCCGGGAUGGGAAUCUACAGUUCUUCCUCCUCCUCCUACUCCGAUCUCCGCCGUCACCACCGCCGCCGAAAUUUCCGAGAUGGCGCAAAUGGUGUGUGGAUCUUGCAGGCGUUUACUUUCGUAUCCCCGAGGAACCAAACACGUCAAGUGUUCUUGCUGUCAGACUGUUAAUCUCGUUCUUGAAGCUUACCAGGUUGGUCAGGUGAAGUGUAGCAAUUGCGAACUUCUCUUGAUGUAUCCUUAUGGAGCUCCAUCUGUCAGAUGUUCCUCCUGCAAAUCUGUCACAGACAUCAGA
This is an RNA transcript of Brassica rapa (field mustard), 2215 nucleotides long. It is a transcript of the gene named protein LOL2, with no coding region annotated. The record is from RefSeq and is a predicted model, not a curated record. Lineage: Eukaryota; Viridiplantae; Streptophyta; Magnoliopsida; Brassicales; Brassicaceae.